RNAcentral lists this ribosomal RNA (92 nucleotides) under Vibrio parahaemolyticus. Its description in RNAcentral is "partial 16S ribosomal RNA". It matches the Rfam family "Bacterial small subunit ribosomal RNA", at positions 1451 to 1533 of the family's 1533-position model. Lineage: Bacteria; Pseudomonadati; Pseudomonadota; Gammaproteobacteria; Vibrionales; Vibrionaceae. The record is from RNAcentral.
CGCUUACCACUUUGUGGUUCAUGACUGGGGUGAAGUCGUAACAAGGUAGCGCUAGGGGAACCUGGCGCUGGAUCACCUCCUUAWACGAUGAU